UGUUAAUGUUAUUGUUCAUGACAAUCGACUUUAAGCUUUUUGUUUGAGUGGGUUCUUGACAUUCAACUGAAGUGGGUUGACAUUCUUUUCGAUUAUUAUUCAAGUUUUGAUCAUGGGACUUUUGAUUUUUCACUUGAGGAAUAAUGGCGCUGAUUAGGAAGUUAUUUUUUUAUAAUAAGCCUCCAGAUGGGUUGUUGGAGAUUGCAGAAAGGGUUUAUGGUAUGUCGAUUGUUAACUUUUUUUGUGUAUAAAUGUAAUAUUUGAUGUGAAUUGUGAUAUUUCAGUAGUUAUUUGUAUGAUUCAUUGUGAAUGUAUGUGCUUAUGUAUGUAUUUUGAAAUUUGAAUAGUUGUAUGUGGGGAAAAUUUUGAAUUUUGAUGUGAUUGGAAAUGUAUGAUUUGAGGAGUAUAUGAACCCUAAUUUGCCCAAAAUGGCUUGAAAUUCGAUUCUUAGUUGGCAAUUUGAAUGUGGUGAGAGGGGAGGGGGGGAGUGAAAUAGGCAACGCUGGACUGUAAGCCUGGAAUUUCAUUGUAACAUAAUUCGCGAAUCAAUUCACUUUUUAAAUUCGCGAUUCGCUUAUAACCCUAAUUUGUUUUUUGAUUCACAAUUUGUGAGGAGAUCAUCGAGUCAUGUGACACUAUGGGAUUGUUUCUGGUGAGCUAAAUCAAGGGUUUCUCCUGAUUCAUUAACUUAUGAUGGUUGGAGGAUUAUGUAAUGUUUAUGCUGUGGUUUACUUGAUUGUUCGUUUUCAGAAUAAAUUGGUUCAUGUGCUUGCUAAAUGAAGCUUGAAUAGCUGCAAGUAUUAGAAACUAUCUCUGUAGUAGUCUUUGAGUGUUUAGGAGUAAGAAUGGAUGUAUUUCAACUUCUGAAAUCCCCUACUUUAGCCAGAAGCUAUAUUAUUUGGACUCGGGUACUGAUGCUGGAUACUGGUACGUGUCCAAAUGUCGGAUACGUCUAAAUAUUCAAUUUUACACCUAAAAUGAAGUGUCUAAGUGUAACACCCUGGCCCUUCGGACCGCCGGUGACUACUUAUAGAGACUGUUGAUUGGCCCCACAGACCAACACAAGUCUUUCCAGCGCACUUUGGCUUCACUCAUGUGCACCUAGGAAAAUUUCCCAUGAGGUCAUACAUCCUAAGAUUGCUCCCCCAAGUAUGCUUAACUGUAGAGUUUUUUGAAAAUGGGCUCCCUGGAAAAGAAAAUGCACUUUGUUGUUAUGAGUAGUCUAUCAAUCCUUUUUAAAGCUAAAUCCGGGGUAUUACACUAAGUGCCAUAGUAUUGUCCGAGCAUCAAUAAUCGGAUACGGGUACGUGAAGUAAAAUGAGGAGUACGAGUAACAUAGGCCGGAUGUAUUACCUAAACUAAUUGAAUUUAGUAUUUUUCCUGUGAUUAGCAUUGGCAGCCACGCAUGUGUAAGCAAGCACUGGAACAUUCAUUGUAUUCCUGGUUAGACACCAGUCUACUGCUGAGAUAUAAUAUAACAUAGUCGUUUUCUUUGUUCAUUUCUGAUGAUUGUCGUCUGCUCUGUAGCAUAAUCUGGCCUUUCAUUAAACUCUUAAUCCGCUAUGGUCUUGGUUUAGAUGAUACUCUGUCACAUCUUAAUUGUUACCAAAAUGGAAAGGGACAGAGGGAGUAGCUACUGAAAGAAAAAUGGAAAUAAACUUGACGCUUCUUUCAUUUUGGUAACAUAGUCUUUUUACAUUUUAUUGUCCGUUAAACCAUUAUAGUUUAUCACUGUAAUUGCCGAGGGGCAAGUUUGUGCAUUUUUUGACUUCACAAGCUGUAUUUCAGUGUCAUUCAUACAAGGGGGUUGUUCAUAAAUUUAUCUUCUUUCCUAGCAGGUAAUGCUUUUUGCAUGACUUUUAUGCAGGUUGAGCUUAGGAGGGCUUACAAUUGUGAAUUAAUGCUUCCCCUGCCGAUUUAAUGGUAUGGUCAUGGUUAUCAGUGUGCAAAUAAAUUUUGGGUUUGAUGGUGAAUUCUAGUUUAUCCGCUUGCUGGUGACUUGUACUCAGCAGUUAAUAGAAAUUGGGUUAACAAGCUCGGGUUGUAGUGAGAUUUAUGGAAUCUCUAUGUUGGGUGAUGCAAAUGGUUUGACGCUGUCACCUUAUCAUUAUGGCUGUCGUUAGCUUAAAUUUGUAUUAGUUAGACAUGGUGGGCCAACCAAGAUUUAGUUCCCUAGUAGAAAUGCGUUGAACCAAGCGACUGCCAGAGAUCCGACUUAAGAUCUUGGCAGAGGAAAUGCAAAGGGUUAGAAAAGGUUGUUCAAGAGCUAACUGCCUCACGAAACGAGAAGAGUUUUGCAAGAAAUCAUGCCCCCAAAUGGUCUUGCGCACAAAAUAAGGAAAGAAUUCCCAAAAUAGAAGUUUUGCUACUAAAUGCCCUGUCCCCCUAAAAUGGGAAUAAUGAGAACUGCAAACAAUAACUCGAGUUCAAAAAGAAAAAGGCGAAGAAGGAAGCCGAGUAUGAAAUGAUGAAGAUUGCUCAUGUGAAGACUCUGAGCAGCCUGUUCCGUCCCCUCGGAAGAUUGGCAUUUGGCAGUGUGAUAUGAUGACCAAUCUGUACAUGGUUCAACAGAUCUCUUAGAACACAGCAAACACAGACAGGGCCGGGUCACUCACACCCCACAGGGAGCUAUUAAGAUGUUGCACCCCAUGACAACUACACAUAGAUUAUAUUGAAAAAUGUACAUAACAUUCUUUCAAAUGUAAUUAGAAGGAUAAAUAAUGUGGUAGUAUUCUGAUUUUUUACAUUUUUUUUAAAUAAUAGGAUAUGCUUAGAGAAGAGGGGGAUUACGUGAAAUUCGAUUCGAGACUUUGUCUAGAAAAAGUGGUAGUAUUUUGAUUUUAUAUAUUUUUUUUGAAUAAUUAGAAUUCAGACUAAGUAGGUGAUGAUAAUUACAUUUUACUUCUGUAUAAUAAUUUUUAUUUACAUUUCAA
Amaranthus tricolor (Joseph's coat) is the source of this 2933-nucleotide long non-coding RNA. RefSeq lists it as uncharacterized. NCBI's taxonomy places the organism in Eukaryota, Viridiplantae, Streptophyta, Magnoliopsida, Caryophyllales, Amaranthaceae. The transcript is spliced from 3 exons. The record is from RefSeq and is a predicted model, not a curated record.